UCACGCUGGCGGCGUGCCUCAGACAUGCAAGUCGAACGAGAAAGUUCCCUUCGGGGAAUGAGUAAAGUGGCGCACGGGUGAGUAACACGUAGGUAAUCUACCUUCGGGUGGGGAAUAACGCAGGGAAACUUGCGCUAACACCGCAUAAUGCAGCGGCACCACAUGGCGACAGUUGUUAAAGCGGGGGAUUUUAGGACCUCGCGCCUGAAGAGGAGCCUGCGGCAGAUUAGCUAGUUGGUAAGGUAACGGCUUACCAAGGCGACGAUCUGUAACCGGCCUGAGAGGGCGGUCGGUCACACUGACACUGACAUACGGGUCAGACUCCUACGGGAGGCAGCAGUCGGGAAUUUUGGGCAAUGGGCGAAAGCCUGACCCAGCAACGCCGCGUGAAGGAUGAAAUCCCUCGGGAUGUAAACUUCGCAAGAAUAGGAAGAAUGAACGAGCGCUAAUACCGUUCGUGAUGACGGUACUAUUUGUAAGCUCCGGCUAACUCCGUGCCAGCAGCCGCGGUAAUACGGGGGGAGCAAGCGUUGUUCGGAUUUACUGGGCGUAAAGGGCGCGUAGGCGGCCAGCGCAAGUCAGUUGUGAAAUCUCCGGGCUUAACUCGGAAAGGUCAACUGAUACUGCGCGGCUAGAGUGCAGAAGGGGCAACUGGAAUUCUCGGUGUAGCGGUGAA
Molecule: ribosomal RNA, 676 nt
Filed under: uncultured soil bacterium
Lineage: Bacteria
Description: bacterial SSU rRNA
Rfam family: Bacterial small subunit ribosomal RNA
Source: RNAcentral